CUAAACACCCAGACACAUUUUUUAAGCUUAAUUAAUCUGUAAUUAGAGAGUGUUAUCAUGACCUAAUAAUCAAGCUUAAUAUAUUGGUCUUCAGAUUUGAGUAAAUUUUAGUCAGAAACCAAACAUCCCCUGCAUAAAAGACGCGAGCACGUCACGUCGUCAUCAAGCCGAAGCCAAGCGUGGGUACGGUACGUGCAAGCAAAACGGUGGAAGUGGAGGGCGGGUGGACGUCGUCAGUGCUGUGCUGUGCUGUGCUGGCUGCUGCUAUCGGACGGACACGGGCCUGCCAUGUCAUGGUCGGUCUCUGGCCACGUCUCCUCUCUUCUUUCCUUCCGCACCACCAGGUGACCGACUCUUACCAGAAACGCGCAGCAUGUGUACCAACUGUUAAGAACUACGUUACCACGGAUCACCAGAUUCGCUCCCUUCCCUCCCGUCAACAGUAGAGACGCAAGAAGCUGUAGAGAACCCGUCUCCCUUUCCAUAAACACGAUAGAGGAAACACACGAGACACUGGAUAUAGGGUUGGGCCUCUGGCCUCUUUCUGAUCUCUGUCAUAUGAAGGAGUGUACAGGUUCCUUAUAUAGAGAUGUGAGACCCCUCAGGGGCAAAGCAGGUAUUUGCCCACAUAACCCUAACUAGGGUUACUUAACACUCCCCCUUGGGCGAAUACCGCGACCAACACAUGCCUCGUUAAAACUCCGAAAAACCCAGUGGGAAAAAAGUGGAGAAAGAGUGCAUGGUGAUACAAAUUGCAUUUGCACUAUGUUGCCUCGUUAAAAACCUCAUGUGAGAAACUUCAAGAAAACUCACAAAAGGAAAAAGAGUACAACAGCUAUCAUCGGGACAGAUUUCGAUCCUCUGAGAUCUAGAUUCUAUCGAAUCUUCUACAAGGGCUAACUUUUAGAAAUGUGCUCCCCCUGAUCCUUGCAAAACCGUAUCAAUAAGGCAAAACAUCUUCUUCUAGAAGUAUAUGCACAUAAAGAUUUAGCAAACGGAUUGCAUAUCCUUGCAAGGAAUAUUUCAGGAACUUUACCUCUACUCACUUCUAGGAUAUACGAGGUAAAUGCACAUAUCAAUAUAAAUAAGCCACUUUGAUUGAUGGUGUUCGAUCGACUAGAUCUAUAUAUUUGAUAGAAAGUUCCAUAAAGGUUCACAUAUUGAUCAUCAAGCUCGCGCCUUCAGGGCAUAGAAUAUGACAUUUAUUGUCUCACGGUUGUGAUCAAUAUAAUCAUUCGCUCCCCCUGACGAUGACAUCUGUCAAAGUCUUUAUCCCUCAUAACUCAAGCAUAUUGUUCAAGAUAUAUGUCUCAUUGUUCAUCUGGAAUAACGAGAAUGAAUGAGGUUGGGGUGCUAUCAUUUUCUAUCUUACACCACAAUUUAUACAUAGUUGUGCAAAGCAAAUAACAUGUCCUUCAAUAGGACUUAGGGGAUAAUAUAGUUGCAAUAGUACAUAUUCUAAAUAUGACACAUCGCUCGAGGCGUUCAUCCAUUGCAACAUCUAUGAUGGUGUAACAAAAGUCCAUCUAAGAUCGUAAUCCAUUAGGGAUUUUUCAUCGAUCAGAUACAUCGUUAUAGUCUGUCGUUCUGGCACAAUGGGGAUAUUUUGCCAGUAACACCUAAACCUUAUAGGUUUCUGCCAUCAGGGCUUUAAAGGAUACCGUAAUUCCAUAUCUAGUGGAAAUUACCAUGAGUAAAACUCAUGGAAUGCACAUGUGCUUAUUCGGUGAACUUCAAGUCCUUUGGUACCUCAUCUUAUUCCUUUUCGGGUCUGUAUGGGUCUUUAUCCCUUUAUAGGGAUUAUCAAACUUUGGUGUUCAACACAGACUUUGUUUCUUCUGGAUAGGUUCCAUCUGGGAACGAUAGUCUCAACUAUAAGAUAUUCUCCCUACAUAGGAGAGUGAUCAUUCAUCAGGAAUGUAUUAUUCGGUAUGAGAUUUAUAUGUUGCAUAUUUAUAAUUCAAAUAUAUGAGUCCUCCUAGGAUCUCAUGACGGAUCUUCAGAAUCCUAUUAACUGCAUAUUUUAAUUCAUGCCAUUUGCCAGAUAUAUUACAUAGCGGAACAAUGUUUAUUCAACACAUAUGUGGGAUGGGUCUCUCACAAGACCACUUGAACCAUCGCAUUCACCACACAUUAUCUCAAUAGUGCCCAUAAAUGUCCGAACUUCAAGCUCGUGACUUUCAUUUUGCGAUUAUUGGUUCAACUUCGAUUGCAUUUAUCAAUGACCCGAUAAGAGAGCUUGAAGCACUCAUGCCUAGGACUUUGUUUUGGAUCCCUUUGCAAUCUAUAGAGGCAAGAUAGGUGUCGACACAUUUGUCUCCCAUAUUUAAUAAUGAUCUCCGUCAUUUCCCAAAACGAAAGAUUCAUUGUUCCGUAUUCCCAGCACAAUGAUAUUGUGCGCAUUGCUAGGAACUUCAUCAUCAAGAUGAACCUCUUCGUGAGGCAAAUCACCAGCAGGGCGAGUUCAUCGGAGGAGAGUUAUUACAGACCACGUGAAUCUGCAAUCAGAACAUAUGCUUUGACUAAGGCUGAUGGAUCAUAUUCGCAGGCGUCCCCGAGAAUAGAUCAAAUACCAAUAAGUCAAAUGUGGAUAUGAUAUUAAUCCCGGGUAUAUCCACAUCUACAUCAGGUAGAAGCAUUCAAACCAAUAUGGUUACUCCUCAACGAUUUCUGGCAAACUCCAUAUACAUAGGAGUACACUCCGAACGACGGGUUCAGUUUGGCUUUUGUGCGUUUAAUAGAAUAUUGAGGCAUUACACUAUAUGGGCAUUCCUCCCCCUAAUGCCGAGAUGUUCUAAAAGCAUAUAGAUGAAAUCCCCAACCACAAUCAUCUAGUUUGUGGCCAAUAUAUGCUAUUAUGGUGAUUUAUUUGGGAAAUCUUACGCACAUUACAGAUAAGGGUUUUAUGCAGUGAGCUUUGGACUUAGAUUGAUGUAGUGGCAUGAAUACUACAUAUUUGUCCUUCAACGUGAAGGACUAGUGUCAACUUCCAGCAUGACACGCAACAAACAAGUUGCUUCGUGGUUACAAUUCUGCAAACUUAUUUUUAUUAUUACCAAAUGUAUAGUCAAUCAUUAAGAUUUAGACUAACAUGCACAACGUUAUUUUAUCCAUAAGGAUCCUUCAGGGGCUCAUGAAUACCAUUCGUCGUUUGGAGCCAUUAGUUGACUUCAGAUCAACAAGUAAAAUGACCAUCAGGGUCUAGCGCUCAUAAGGACAUUCACUGGUUGCAUUGUGCUUUGAGGCACAUAGGAAAAAUGUGUGUGUUUAUAUUGGUAGUGAAGUGUACGGCAUCAGGCCAAUGCUGCCAAGCAAAGAUUUUUAUAUGCAGAGAUGUAUAGUCCAGCUCGUUUUUAUCACUGCCCAUGGUUUACCCAAUUACUCAUACUGCUCUGAAAUUGGGUAUCAAUUUAUGCAACAUUUUUAGGUAUAAUAAUUUUGAGAGAGAACUUAUAACAAUAGUUAAUUAUUUGUGGUGUUGCCAGCAGGCCAAACAUUUCUCCUCAUAUUAUAUACCAAAUUGUUCUAUAUAGCAUUAUUUCGAUCUCUUCAUUGUUCAGCAAAAAAGAGAAGCUUUGGAAUAGAACAGACAAGGCCAAGAAUUCAUUUUUAUCUAGGAAAAAUCACCAUAUAACUACAUUUUCAUGAAACAAAUGAUGAUAACUGCUUGGCAAGAACAAAACAAGACCGGUAUCCGCCUAGGAUCCGUCUUCAACAACAUAUAGUACUGCUCUCAUACGAAGAAAUCGUUAGGAGUAGAGAGGAUACAACAGGUCCCUACAAGAUCUUCAUAUUUCUAUCACAAAUUAUCAUCACUAGUAGUCUAGUGGUCAAGACAUAUGACUCUUCUGGCUCCGAGGACCAAGGACAUGUUAAUGUCUAAUUUAGCUUCAAGCUCUGUGGUGGUUAUUUGUCUACUCUUCUCACUUCUGGUAGAUCAGAAGUAGAUUAUGGUAAGCAUGCCAUGGGGUGAAAUCCAAUGUAGUUCUGCUACAUAAACCCCAUUUAUAUGUUCCUGCAGAUUUGACCUUUACCGUUUUGGUUACCAUAUAUACCAUACUCGUCAUAGGACUAUCCGCAACUAGGAGUAUUUACAAUUUUGAGAGAUGUAUGCAACACAAGCAUAAGGGUCCUAGAUAGGACGAGCAAAGUGGCUCUACUGGAACACACAAUGGUUUUCACACCAACAUAGUGCGAUUUUUCUCAAAAUAACCUCUUGGUAUACUCGCAACUUCGUGUUGCUAGCGGUUACAUGUCCUUUUAUCUCAUAGUUUGCUUCAUGUCAUCCAGCGACAAAGAGAUCAAUGUGCUAACAUCUAGUUGAGCAAUGUAUGACUGAGAUUUCUGAUCUUAAAUCAUUUGGUAAGGUCUUUUUGCUUACUAAUAUAGUCCCAAUUUGUGAAAUCUUCUAUGCCAAAAAAGCUUUCAUGCAUUAUAUUAUAUAUCUUCUGGUUACUUCGGGUAAAACAUUAUGCAUGAGGAGAGAGCAGAGAAUUAACUUAUUCAUGUUCUGUUGUAUUUCAAUUUAAUUUCCCAGAUUAUUCAAGCACUAUAGAGCUUGAUAUAGUUGUUAUGGCCACUUGGCAAUAUAAAUAAAUAUAUGGUGCCACACAACACAAGCAAAUAAAAUAUAGAGCUAAACAAAAUUGUUUACGAAGGUUGUGCAUAAUGUGACUUUAGAGCUUGAACGACCCACCACAAUCCAUGCGAGUACAAGCUCUAUCAUAUCUGGCGUCAACGCGUGUGUGGCCAUGUGGGCUACGACAACGCAACAAGCCUCCAUAACAAGCGCAACAGGCGCAGUUGUGACUCGGUAAUUGGGGUACGCGACAAGUCCACACAACGUGCGCAACAAACGCAAUUGUGGCUCGGUGAUAACGACAGACGAACAGUGCCUACAUGGCAUGCGAAAAAUACGUGACUCGGUGAUGCCGGUCCAACUCAGCAGGAGUGAUCCGGUUAGGCGAGAGUACAACAUAGCAAUCACAUGACGCAGCCAAGUUCUUACGACACAAAUAAUGCGUCGUGUUGCCUGGACGCAGCCAAUGCCAUAGCUCAGCCAAUUAAAAAUGUAGUCUGAUCGACGUGUCUAAGUACCCACUAUAUCAUUUAAUCGCUCGACGUGAGCCCAAAAGCUCAACGCAACACAAAUAUUUAGAGCGAUUUGAGUAUACACAAUAUAACCAUCACAUGCAUUUUAAUAAUUUUCUGCUAAUUAUUUACUACGGGAAAUAAUUAUUAAUGCAGAAAAAAUGAACACCAUAAUGAACAUAAUUAUUAAGGCAUUUUCUCAUAUUCAAUCAUACAUUUUCUAAUAAUUAUAUACUGCGGGAAAUAAUUAUUUAAGGUAGACAAGACUAUAUAAAACAUGCUUUAUUCUAUUUAUUAUUUGUAAUAGAAAUAAAUAGAAUAAAUAAUAUGAAGCAUGUAUACAAAUCAAAAUUCUACGGAAGUUUAUUAAUUCCACGAGAAUUUAUGAAAAGAAAAGUGUGUAUACAUAAAUAUGAAGCAGUCCAUCUGGGGUAUUAUAGUAUGACUAACCAGCAUCUCGAAAAGAAACACGUACGACUUGACCUCCCUUGCCUUGAGUGGGUUCCACCAGUGGGCCCCACCACUUGGCAUCCUGUGCGAUCUAUGCAAGACCAGUUUCUGCCCGGCUGCUGCGCGAGCACGCGAGAAGCGGUCAACCGAGGUUGCAAGACCAGUUCACCGUUCAUUGCAUGCACGAGAUCACACAUACGUGUGCAAGGACCAGGGUACGGUGGGGCUCUAGAGUUGCAUGCGCAUGCACCAUUAGAGAUGGCAACGGGUACAAACCCACCGGGUUUUGCUAUCCCAAACCCGUACCCGUGAAAAAUAUUUACACCCAUUAAAAAACCCGUACCCGUGACGGGUUUGAAAUUUUGCCCAAACCCGUACCCAUCGGGUUAGCGGGUACCCACGGGUUACCCGCGGGUUUUAUCUCCAAUAUACUUAUUCUUUCUAUAAUCAAUAAGUAUCGUAAUGAUUAAUGAGAUCAUGGUCUAAAAUUUAUGUAAUGAACAACGAGUUCAUGAUUUGGUAUAAAAAAUAUUAGUACAGAGAAUUAAAUACAAAUAAUAAGUUGUAUAAUCAAGUUACCUUGCACUAAGUUAUACAUCCACCACAUAUAUAACGCUAGUAAUAACUAUAAUAGCAAGCAAGCAACACUCUCACCAACUACUUAUACAUUCACUAUUUGAUAAAAAAUAGGAAGUAAAUAGGUAGAUAAUAAGUUUGUUGUUCGUUUAUAAAAUAAAAUGACAAUAUACACUAGGUUUGGUCGGGUUUAAAAAACCCACGGGUUCACGGGUUUGGGUACUAUAGGAACAAACCCGUACCCAUGAACCCGUCGGGUAUACAUUUAUGCCCAUUAAUAAACCCAUGGGUAUGAAAAUUGACCCAAACCCGUACCCUAAUGGGGUAAAAACCCAUCGGGUUUCGGGUACCCAUUGCCAUCUCUAUGCACCAUGCAAGCCAUGCAAGUUUGGUUUCUUUAUCACAUACAUGCAAGCUCACAACCGCUCCUUGCUUUUAGCUAUCCAUUUGACCGGGCUUUUUUUUUUGCAUGGCUGCAUCUACUCAAAGCGGUCCAAGCGGCGUAGCCCCUCAUGGCAUGCGUGAGCGCCCAGCGGUCAAAGGAAGUGACCCGUUCUUUUCUCCUGGAAAAACUAGAUCUGGCCACGUCUCCACACGCUAGGACGCGAGCCAACUCACCGCCCACCCCGACCAUGAGUGGCCCGACGCAGAUGCUUCGAGCACAGCGCGGGCGUGACCUCCAGCGGUGCGGGGAGUCCGAGUCGAUCUCUACUGGAGAUGGUGGAGCGACGACGAGAUCUCCAACGGUACAAGCAGGAGAGUGGGGAGCCGGGGGGACAUAGUGUUCGUCUAGGCGAGAUCCCCACGAACGAAUAGUAGAUAAAAAUCAUACCGUUCAAUUGUGUAGAGGGGAAUCGAAGCCUCUCGCGUAGGAGAGUUCGGCUAGGCCGGAGACCUGCCGGAUUGACGGUGAGUUGAUGCAGAUCUGAUCUCGUAGCAACGUCGAGGUAGAGCGUGCUGAUAAUGUGUUAAGAACUACGUUACCACGGAUCACCAGAUCCGCUCCCUUCCCUCCCGUCAGCAAUAGAGACGCAAGAAGCUGUAGAGAACCUGUCUCCCUUCCCAUAAACACGACAGAGGAAACACACGAGACACUGGAUAUAGGGUUGGGCCUCUGGUCUCUUUCUGAUCUCUGUCAUAUGAAGGGGUGUACAGGUUCCUUAUAUAGAGAUGUGAGACCCCUCAGGGGCAAAGCAGGUAUUUGCCCACAUAACCCUAACUAGGGUUACUUAACACCAACUUCUAAAAAUUACCAGAAGCCUUCUUUCUGCAUUGUACCAGAAACAGCUUCCUCUCGUUAAGAAGGAAAACAGAAGAGUCCAGGGCAAAAAGGAAAAACAAACAAAGCAACUCUACGGCGAAGAAAUCCUCUUCCUCCCUGUCGCGAUGCGCAACUCCCACACGCAACCUCCACCAUCCAUGAUUCGUCCCCAAUCCCAUCUCCGCUUGACUUUGUCUUACAUACAAAUUGCUGCUAGACAGAGUACUAUGGAUGGAAUUGGAUCAGCUGCUGGCCGAUGGAUUAGUAGACAAGGCCCGGGCGGCGGCCGGGGCUCGGCGGCGACAGAGGAGACGGAGUCUUCUUCGGCGGGGGCUCGAUGGGGCCCACGUGGGAGCGGAAUCCCGCGGAGACCACCGCGUCGCGCACGCACCAGUGGAACGCCGGCUGCCGCAUGGCC
Molecule: long non-coding RNA, 7796 nt
Filed under: Zea mays
Lineage: Eukaryota; Viridiplantae; Streptophyta; Magnoliopsida; Poales; Poaceae
Description: long non-coding RNA (ZMAY_LNC000636)
Source: RNAcentral